UUCGUGUGAACAGUGGUUGAUCACGAGUUAGUCGGUCCUAAGUUCAAGGCGAAAGCCGAAAAUUUUCAAGUAAAAAAAUUUGUUAUUUGAUAAAUAUAUUGAUAAUUAUACACUUGAAUAAUUUUGAACGAAAGGGAAUACGGUUCCAAUUCCGUAACCUGUUGAGUAUCCGUUUGUUAUUAAAUAUGGGCCUCGUGCUCAUCCUGGCAACAGGAACGACCAUAAAGAAGCCGUCGAGAGAUAUCGGAAGAGUUUUCUUUUCUGUUUUAUAGCCGUACUACCAUGGAAGUCUUUCGCAGAGAGAUAUGGUGGAUGGGCUAGAAGAGCAUGACAUAUACUGUUGUGUCGAUAUUUUCUCCUCGGACCUUGAAAAUUUAUGGUGGGGAUACGCAAACUUCUCAACAGGCCGUACCAAUAUCCGCAGCUGGUCUCCAAGGUGAAGAGUCUCUAGUCGAUAGAAUA
RNAcentral lists this ribosomal RNA (462 nucleotides) under Dichaetophora sp. DLS4 (Gao). RNAcentral's name for it is "partial 28S ribosomal RNA". It matches the Rfam family "Eukaryotic large subunit ribosomal RNA", at positions 1508 to 1897 of the family's 3401-position model. The record is from RNAcentral. Lineage: Eukaryota; Metazoa; Arthropoda; Insecta; Diptera; Drosophilidae.